RNAcentral lists this ribosomal RNA (393 nucleotides) under uncultured bacterium. RNAcentral describes it as "partial 16S ribosomal RNA". It matches the Rfam family "Bacterial small subunit ribosomal RNA", at positions 523 to 918 of the family's 1533-position model. The record is from RNAcentral.
AUACGGAGGAUCCGAGCGUUAUCCGGAUUUACUGGGUUUAAAGGGUGCGUAGGCGGGCGCCUAAGUCAGCGGUGAAAUGCAGCGGCUCAACCGUUGAACUGCCGUUGAAACUGGGCGCCUUGGAUGCGGUCGAGGCCGGCGGAAUGCGUGGUGUAGCGGUGAAAUGCUUAGAUAUCACGCAGAACGCCAAUUGCAAAGGCGGCUGCCCGGGCAGCAAGCGACGCUGAGGCACGAAAGCGUGGAGAUCAAACAGGAUUAGAUACCCGGGUAGUCCACGCCGUAAACGAUGAUGGCUAGCUGUUGGCGAUACACAGUCAGCGGCUGAGCGAAAGCGGUAAGCCAUCCACCUGGGGAGUACGGUCGCAAGAUUGAAACUCAAAGGACUUGACGGGG